Molecule: long non-coding RNA, 266 nt
Organism: Sitophilus oryzae (rice weevil)
Lineage: Eukaryota; Metazoa; Arthropoda; Insecta; Coleoptera; Curculionidae
Exons: 2
Source: RefSeq, a predicted model, not a curated record
AUAUACAGUAAUUAUUAAUGGGGAAAAAUAUAUUAAAUAUUUCGAAAUAAUUUAUUUGGAAAAUCUAAAAGACAUGUCUGAAAAUAUACUUAUAUGUUCAUAUUGUAACAAAGAAAACACACAACUGAUGUACCAGCUAGUAAUCUAACUGAUAUCUUGCCAUUAUUAUGAAUAAAACAAAUUUUUAUGACUUAAACCUAUUGUCAUGUUAAUAUAAGAAGAUAUUCCGAGAGAAAAAAUGACCAUUAAGAAGACCAAGAAUGCGG